GCCGCUAUGGCUCAGUGGUAGCGCGCUUCAUUGGUAAUGAAGAGGUCUCAAGUUCGAUUCUUGAUAGCGGCACCG
This 75-nucleotide transfer RNA is filed under the name Neorickettsia sp. 179522. RNAcentral's name for it is "tRNA-Thr". It matches the Rfam family "tRNA". Rfam says of the family: Transfer RNA (tRNA) molecules are approximately 80 nucleotides in length. Their secondary structure includes four short double-helical elements and three loops (D, anti-codon, and T loops). Lineage: Bacteria; Pseudomonadati; Pseudomonadota; Alphaproteobacteria; Rickettsiales; Anaplasmataceae. The record is from RNAcentral.